This 253-nucleotide ribosomal RNA is filed under the name uncultured bacterium. RNAcentral's name for it is "partial 16S ribosomal RNA". It matches the Rfam family "Bacterial small subunit ribosomal RNA", at positions 524 to 776 of the family's 1533-position model. The record is from RNAcentral.
UACGUAGGGGGCAAGCGUUGUCCGGAUUCAUUGGGCGUAAAGAGCGUGUAGGCGGCCAGGUAGGUCGGUUGUGAAAACUGGAGGCUCAACCUUCAGACGUCGACCGAAACCAUCUGGCUAGAGUCCGGGAGAGGAGAGUGGAAUUCCUGGUGUAGCGGUGAAAUGCGCAGAUAUCAGGAGGAACACCAGUGGCGAAGGCGACUUCCUGGCCUGUUCUUGACGCUGAGGCGCGAAAGCUAGGGGAGCAAACGGG